Molecule: ribosomal RNA, 467 nt
Filed under: uncultured bacterium
Lineage: Bacteria
Description: partial 16S ribosomal RNA
Rfam family: Bacterial small subunit ribosomal RNA
Source: RNAcentral
GACGAACGCUGGCGGCGUGCUUAACACAUGCAAGUCGAACGGAAAGGCCCUGCUUUUGUGGGGUGCUCGAGUGGCGAACGGGUGAGUAACACGUGAGUAACCUGCCCUUGACUUUGGGAUAACUUCAGGAAACUGGGGCUAAUACCGGAUAGGAGCUCCUGCUGCAUGGUGGGGGUUGGAAAGUUUCGGCGGUUGGGGAUGGACUCGCGGCUUAUCAGCUUGUUGGUGGGGUAGUGGCUUACCAAGGCUUUGACGGGUAGCCGGCCUGAGAGGGUGACCGGCCACAUUGGGCCUGAGAUACGGCCCAGACUCCUACGGGAGGCAGCAGUGGGGAAUAUUGCACAAUGGGCGGAGGCCUGAUGCAGCAACGCCGCGUGCGGGAUGACGGCCUUCGGGUUGUAAACCGCUUUCGCCUGUGACGAAGCGUGAGUGACGGUAAUGGGUAAAGAAGCACCGGCUACUUACGU